This 337-nucleotide long non-coding RNA is filed under the name Brassica napus (rape). RNAcentral describes it as "long non-coding RNA (BNAP_LNC012874)". Lineage: Eukaryota; Viridiplantae; Streptophyta; Magnoliopsida; Brassicales; Brassicaceae. The record is from RNAcentral.
AACAAAAAAACCGAGAUUCUUUUACGUUUCAAAACCCCGUAAGUCGUUUGGACUAGUUCUACUUAGAAAUAAUUUAAAAAUUUUGUAAAAACUAUUUUGAUAAGUGAAAAAUUGAAAUAAUGUAAUUAACAAAUGUUUUAAGAGAUAUAAAUUAAGAUAUAACAAAAGUUAAUUGUUUUCAACAUAGAUGAGUGAAAGUAGUGAGUCAUGAUAUUCUUUGGUUUAGGUUUUUGCAACAUAUGUUGUACUAUUGUAUGUGUUCUUAGGGUUAGAUUUUGAAAUGCAUAAAUAUUUUUUGAAAACUUUAAAAUUUACCUAAGUGUGUUUAUUUCUGUGU